RNAcentral lists this transfer-messenger RNA (341 nucleotides) under Alphaproteobacteria bacterium. It matches the Rfam family "Alphaproteobacteria transfer-messenger RNA". From Rfam's summary of the family: Bacterial tmRNA, also known as 10Sa RNA or SsrA, is named for its dual tRNA and mRNA-like properties. The record is from RNAcentral. Lineage: Bacteria; Pseudomonadati; Pseudomonadota; Alphaproteobacteria.
UCCCUUCCAUUCAGGUGCAAAAAUCCCUAUAUAUGGCCUGUCGGGCAACCGACUAUGGCGAUAAACGGUCUACGGAAUAGGUGUUGCGGACCCGGGGGCGGUACCCGGCGCCUCCACCACAUACAGAUUUACGGUAAUAUUCGGUGAUGAAGUCUGUAUCUGAUGGGGGCGAAACAGGAUCGACGUGCACAGUAAAGGUAUAUUUUUCGCUCGGUAUGAUAUCCGCCGUUACCGGGUCAAUCACUACAAAUGCAAAUGACAAUCGUCAAGCAUUUGCGGUCGCAGCUUAACAGCUGAGUCCACGGGGUUCGAGGGGCACCUGGCAACAGAAGCCCCUCACU